CAUUCUGCUUACUUAGAUUGCCACUCUACUUUACUUGCCUGAUCGAGCUAGUGGUCUGGAGAAGGCUCCAUUGCCUUAGGUAAUGGACUGGUCUGUGAAAUGCGCAGUGACCUGAAUUCUCUGUUCAGCCCUUGAGAGGCGGACAAAGCUGGGCAGAGAUGAACCUCCGAGCCUGACAAGCAAAAGCACCAGCCUUGAUGGGAAUAACCAGAAGUCCGUGUGAAGUUGUCUGAAGAAGGCAGGAGGAGAAAUGCUACAGCCCUGGGGUUCUCAGAUUUUUCUCCAAAGCCUCUGGAUUCACUUUCAUAGAAAACAGCAUAAGCUUUGUCCAGCAGGCUUCAUGACAGGCUUCAUGGUGUGGUGGUAACAAAGUAAUUCGAGUGGAAGUUCUCCCUGGUACCCUGCUUGAGUAAAAAGAAGAUUAACAGUCCUUAAGGACACUCUUUCCAGAAGAUUCUCCCUUAAGGUGACCAACCUGAGAGCCAAGGACAAGGACGCGUAUUACUGUGAGCAAGGCAGGGUCAAAGGGUGUGAGCCCAGACACAAACCUCCAUGUAGGGAGGGGCGAGGAAAUUGCAUUGUAAAUGCUGCUCAGAACCACCAGGGGGUGCUCAGGGCACCAUGGGGCACUCAAGACACUAGGGGGCAUUUAGAACCCCCCGGAGGCACUUAGAAUUACCAACGGGCACUGAGGACACCAUGGGAGCUCAGGACACCAGGGGGCACUCAGGACAUGACAAGGUGCCCAGGACAACAUGGAGGGCUAAGAACCACCAGGGGGUGCUCAGAACCACCAGGAGGCACACAGGAAACCAGGGGGUUCUCAGAAUUCAGGGGGUGCUCAGGAAACCUGAGGGUGCUCAGAACACCAAGGGCGCUCAGAAUAGAAAGUGUGCUCAGAUCACCAAGGGGGAGCUCAAGACACCAGGGACCACUGAGGACAUCAGGGUGUGCUCAAGACACGGGGGG
Macaca mulatta (Rhesus monkey) is the source of this 969-nucleotide non-coding RNA. NCBI's taxonomy places the organism in Eukaryota, Metazoa, Chordata, Mammalia, Primates, Cercopithecidae. The record is from RefSeq and is a predicted model, not a curated record.